RNAcentral lists this transfer RNA (72 nucleotides) under Acidimicrobiia bacterium. RNAcentral describes it as "tRNA-Thr". It matches the Rfam family "tRNA". From Rfam's summary of the family: Transfer RNA (tRNA) molecules are approximately 80 nucleotides in length. Their secondary structure includes four short double-helical elements and three loops (D, anti-codon, and T loops). Further hydrogen bonds mediate the characteristic L-shaped molecular structure. tRNAs have two regions of fundamental functional importance: the anti-codon, which is responsible for specific mRNA codon recognition, and the 3' end, to which the tRNAs corresponding amino acid is attached (by aminoacyl-tRNA synthetases). tRNAs cope with the degeneracy of the genetic code in two manners: having more than one tRNA (with a specific anti-codon) for a particular amino acid; and 'wobble' base-pairing, i.e. permitting non-standard base-pairing at the 3rd anti-codon position. RNAcentral also lists the same sequence under 1 other name. Lineage: Bacteria; Bacillati; Actinomycetota; Acidimicrobiia. The record is from RNAcentral.
GCCCCCUUAGCUCAGUGGUAGAGCACUUCCAUGGUAAGGAAGGGGUCCGCGGUUCGAAUCCGCGAGGGGGCU